Molecule: ribosomal RNA, 229 nt
Filed under: uncultured bacterium
Lineage: Bacteria
Description: partial 16S ribosomal RNA
Rfam family: Bacterial small subunit ribosomal RNA
Source: RNAcentral
UCUGUAGGCGGAUCUGUAAGUCAGUGGUGAAAUCUCAUAGCUUAACUAUGAAACUGCCAUUGAUACUGCAGGUCUUGAGUAAGGUAGAAGUAGCUGGAAUAAGUAGUGUAGCGGUGAAAUGCAUAGAUAUUACUUAGAACACCAAUUGCGAAGGCAGGUUACUAUGCCUUAACUGACGCUGAUGGACGAAAGCGUGGGGAGCGAACAGGAUUAGAUACCCUGGUAGUCC